GAUGAAGAACGUAGCGAAAUGCGAUAAGUAAUGUGAAUUGCAGAAUUCAGUGAAUCAUCGAAUCUUUGAACGCACAUUGCGUCCGCCAGUAUUCUGGCGGGCAUGCCUGUUCGAGCGUCAUUUCAACCAUCAAGCCCCAGGCUUGUGUUGGGGACCUGCGGCUGCCGCAGGCCCUGAAAACCAGUGGCGGGCUCGCUGUCACACCGGGCGUAGUAGAUUUUAUCUCGCUCUGGGCGUGCUGCGGGUUCCGGCCGUUAAAAAACCCUUUUAACCCAAGGUUGACCUCGGAUCAGGUAGGAAUACCCGCUGAACUUAAGCAUAUCAAUAAGCGGAGGA
RNAcentral lists this unclassified non-coding RNA (336 nucleotides) under soil metagenome. RNAcentral describes it as "partial contains 5.8S ribosomal RNA, internal transcribed spacer 2, and large subunit ribosomal RNA". The stretch from base 1 to 120 matches the Rfam family "5.8S ribosomal RNA", at positions 35 to 154 of the family's 154-position model. The record is from RNAcentral.